This 464-nucleotide ribosomal RNA is filed under the name uncultured bacterium. RNAcentral describes it as "partial 16S ribosomal RNA". It matches the Rfam family "Bacterial small subunit ribosomal RNA", at positions 339 to 795 of the family's 1533-position model. The record is from RNAcentral.
CUACGGGCUGCUGCAGUGAGGAAUAUUGCGCAAUGGGGGAAACCCUGACCGAGCAAUGCCGCGUGAACGAAGAAGUAUUUCGAUAUGUAAAGUUCUGUUGUUAAGGAAGAAAGGUAGUAAUAGGAAAUGAUUAUUAUUUGACGGUACUUAACCAGAAAGCCCCGGCUAACUACGUGCCAGCAGCCGCGGUAAUACGUAGGGGGCGAGCGUUAUCCGGAAUUAUUGGGCGUAAAGGGUGCGUAGGCGGCCAUAUAAGUCUAAGUUGAAAGCCCACGGCUUAACCGUGGAGGGUGCUUAGAAACUGUAUGGCUUGAAUCCAGAAGAGGCAAGUGGAAUUCUAUGUGGAGCGGUGGAAUGCGUAGAUAUAUGGAGGAACACCAGUGGCGAAGGCGGCUUGCUGGGCUGGUAUUGACGCUGAUGCGCGAAAGCGUGGGGAGCAAACAGGAUUAGAUACCCUCGUAGUC